CUGUCCGAGGGGCGCUGCAGCAGGUUCAACCUGUCAGGCUCGGAUGGGGCGUUGACCGGCUCAGGCCGGACACUAAACGCACAACGGCGCCCAUUCGCA
RNAcentral lists this non-coding RNA (99 nucleotides) under Pseudomonas fluorescens. RNAcentral describes it as "SAH sequence". It matches the Rfam family "SAH (S-adenosyl-L-homocysteine) riboswitch aptamer". Lineage: Bacteria; Pseudomonadati; Pseudomonadota; Gammaproteobacteria; Pseudomonadales; Pseudomonadaceae. The record is from RNAcentral. RNAcentral also lists the same sequence under 3 other names.